CCUUCGAUAGCUCAGUUGGUAGAGCGGGGGACUGUAGAGUUAUCACUGUAAUCCCUAGGUCGCUGGUUCGAAUCCGGCUCGAAGGA
Molecule: non-coding RNA, 86 nt
Organism: Nematostella vectensis (starlet sea anemone)
Lineage: Eukaryota; Metazoa; Cnidaria; Anthozoa; Actiniaria; Edwardsiidae
Source: Rfam